ACUCCUACGGGAGGCAGCAGUGGGGAAUAUUGCACAAUGGGCGCAAGCCUGAUGCAGCCAUGCCGCGUGUAUGAAGAAGGCCUUCGGGUUGUAAAGUACUUUCAGCAGUGAGGAAGGUUCAUGCGUUAAUAGCGUAUGGAUUUGACGUUAGCUGCAGAAGAAGCACCGGCUAACUCCGUGCCAGCAGCCGCGGUAAUACGGAGGGUGCGAGCGUUAAUCGGAAUUACUGGGCGUAAAGCGCAUGCAGGUGGUUUGUUAAGUCAGAUGUGAAAGCCCGGGGCUCAAACCUCGGAAUUGCAUUUGAAACUGGCAGACUAGAGUACUGUAGAGGGGGGUAGAAUUUCAGGUGUAGCGGUAGAAAUGCGUAGAGAUCUGAAGGAAUACCGGUGGCGAAGGCGGCCCCCUGGACAGAUACUGACACUCAGAUAGCGAAAGCGUGGGGAAGCAAAACAGGAUUAGAUACCCUGGUAGGAUAGCG
This 478-nucleotide ribosomal RNA is filed under the name uncultured bacterium. RNAcentral's name for it is "bacterial SSU rRNA". It matches the Rfam family "Bacterial small subunit ribosomal RNA", at positions 335 to 799 of the family's 1533-position model. The record is from RNAcentral.